Molecule: unclassified non-coding RNA, 160 nt
Filed under: uncultured Diaporthales
Lineage: Eukaryota; Fungi; Ascomycota; Sordariomycetes; Diaporthales
Also listed under: 1 other name
Description: sequence contains ITS2
Source: RNAcentral
CAACCCUCAAGCACUGCUUGGUGUUGGGGCACUGCUCCUCUCGCGGGGAGCAGGCCCUGAAAUUCAGUGGCGAGCUCGCCAGGACCCCGAGCGCAGUAGUUAAACCCUCGCUCUGGAAGGCCCUGGCGGUGCCCUGCCGUUAAACCCCCAACUCUUGAAA